Molecule: ribosomal RNA, 460 nt
Filed under: uncultured bacterium
Lineage: Bacteria
Description: partial 16S ribosomal RNA
Rfam family: Bacterial small subunit ribosomal RNA
Source: RNAcentral
CCUACGGGGUGCAGCAGUGAGGAAUAUUGGUCAAUGGACGAGAGUCUGAACCAGCCAAGUAGCGUGAAGGAUGACUGCCCUAUGGGUUGUAAACUUCUUUUAUAUGGGAAUAAAACGUUCCACGUGUGGGAUUUUGUAUGUACCAUAUGAAUAAGGAUCGGCUAACUCCGUGCCAGCAGCCGCGGUAAUACGGAGGAUCCGAGCGUUAUCCGGAUUUAUUGGGUUUAAAGGGAGCGUAGGUGGAUUGUUAAGUCAGUUGUGAAAGUUUGCGGCUCAACCGUAAAAUUGCAGUUGAAACUGGCAGUCUUGAGUACAGUAGAGGUGGGCGGAAUGCGUGGUGUAGCGGUGAAAUGCUUAGAUAUCACGAAGAACUCCGAUUGCGAAGGCAGUUCACUGGACUGCAACUGACACUGAGGCUCGAAAGUGUGGGUAUCAAACAGGAUUAGAUACCCUUGUAGUC